Molecule: ribosomal RNA, 497 nt
Filed under: uncultured bacterium
Lineage: Bacteria
Description: partial 16S ribosomal RNA
Rfam family: Bacterial small subunit ribosomal RNA
Source: RNAcentral
GAUGAACGCUGGCGGCGUGCCUAAUACAUGCAAGUCGAGCGAACAGACGAGGAGCUUGCUCCUCUGACGUUAGCGGCGGACGGGUGAGUAACACGUGGAUAACCUACCUAUAAGACUGGGAUAACUUCGGGAAACCGGAGCUAAUACCGGAUAAUAUAUUGAACCGCAUGGUUCAAUAGUGAAAGUCGGUUUUGCUGUCACUUAUAGCUUGCUCCGCGCCGCAUUAGCUAGUUGGUAAGGUAACGGAUUACCAAGGCAACGAUGCGUAGCCGACCUGAGAGGGAGAUCGGCCACACUGGAACUGAGACACGUCCCAGACUCCUACGGGAGGCAACAGUAGGGAAUCUUCCGCAAUGGGCGAAAGCCUGACGGUGCAACGCGGCGUGAGUGAUGAAGGUCUUCGGAUCGUAAAGCUCUGUUAUUAGGGAAGAACAAAUGUGUAAGUAACUAUGCACGUCUUGACGGUACCUAAUGAGAAAGCCACGGCUAACUACGUG